CAGCCGCCGCGGUAAUACCGGCGGCCCGAGUGGCGGCCACUAUUAUUGGGCCUAAAGCGUCCGUAGCCGGGCUGGUAAGUCCCCCGGGAAAUCUGGCGGCUUAACCGUCAGAAUUCCGGGGGAUACUGCCAGCCUAGGGACCGGGAGAGGCCGGGGGUAUUCCCGGGGUAGGGGUGAAAUCCUGUAAUCCCGGGAGGACCACCUGUGGCGAAGGCGCCCGGCUGGAACGGGUCCGACGGUGAGGGACGAAGGCCAGGGGAGCGAACCGGAUUAGAUACCCGGGUAGUCCUGGCGGUAAACGAUGCGGACUAGGUGUCGGGUGAGCUUCGGGCUCGCCCGGUGCCGUAGGGAAGCCGUUAAGCCCGCCGCCUGGGGAGUACGGCCGCAAGGCUGAAACUUAAAGGAAUAGGCGGG
This 414-nucleotide ribosomal RNA is filed under the name uncultured microorganism. Its description in RNAcentral is "bacterial SSU rRNA". It matches the Rfam family "Archaeal small subunit ribosomal RNA", at positions 459 to 872 of the family's 1478-position model. The record is from RNAcentral.